AUACGGAGGGUGCGUGCGUUGUUCGGAAUUAUUGGGCGUAAAGAGCAUGUAGGCGGUCUGUUAAGUCUGGUGUGAAAGCCCGGGGCUCAACCCCGGAAGUGCAUUGGAUACUGGCAGACUUGAGUAUGGGAGAGGAAAGCGGAAUUCCGAGUGUAGGAGUGAAAUCCGUAGAUAUUCGGAGGAACACCAGUGGCGAAGGCGGCUUUCUGGACCAAUACUGACGCUGAGAUGCGAAAGCGUGGGGAGCAAACAGGAUUAGAAACCCGGGUAGUCC
RNAcentral lists this ribosomal RNA (274 nucleotides) under uncultured bacterium. RNAcentral describes it as "partial 16S ribosomal RNA". It matches the Rfam family "Bacterial small subunit ribosomal RNA", at positions 523 to 796 of the family's 1533-position model. The record is from RNAcentral.